CUGACUAUCAGCCACCUCCUGAAAUACACAAAUUGGAUUCCAAAAACAAAACUUCAACUGAGAGCCACAUUUUCUUCAACUAUGAAGGGCCUGGAGUGUCCACCUUCGGCACCACUACAACUCAAGAUAUGCUUGUUCCUCACCAAGGGAGGAAGUAUCAGCUAACAGAAGAAGAACUGCAAAAGAUUAAAUAUUCCCAUUUGGUCCAUCCAUGGAAGGGGAAACGUUGGUUUAGCACCGAACAGAGAGAUGCCUACACAAACAAGUACAGUGGACCAAUCACACUUGCGACGGCAGACUUCCAAGGGAGCAGUGUUCCUCUUGGCACGAUGGUCAAGUAUCAACCCAGAAAGAAGCUUGGUUCUUGAAAAAC
Molecule: long non-coding RNA, 373 nt
Organism: Ahaetulla prasina
Lineage: Eukaryota; Metazoa; Chordata; Lepidosauria; Squamata; Colubridae
Exons: 3
Source: RefSeq, a predicted model, not a curated record